This 890-nucleotide ribosomal RNA is filed under the name Micarea substipitata. RNAcentral's name for it is "SSU rRNA". It matches the Rfam family "Bacterial small subunit ribosomal RNA", at positions 370 to 1299 of the family's 1533-position model. Lineage: Eukaryota; Fungi; Ascomycota; Lecanoromycetes; Lecanorales; Micareaceae. The record is from RNAcentral.
AAUAGCCUAACGGCUGAACCAGCAACUUGGAGGAACGUAUAGCAAUAGCUAAUUGCACCAAUAGAAAAUUGGCACAAUAUCGACGCUGUCGAAUAAAGUUCUAGAUAGAAUUAUGAUAAUGACAUUGUCUAUCUAUGUGUCUUGACCAAAUUACGUGCCAGCAGUCGCGGUAAUACGUAGAAGACUAGUGUUAUUCAUCUUUAAUAGGUUUAAAGGGUACCUAGACGGUAAAUCAAGCCUUAGUAGGGACUAGUUUACUAGAGUUACUUGUGAGGGGGCAUUAAAGUACUAAUGGUGUAGAGAUGAAAUUCUGUAAUACCUUUUAUCUAAGAUAAGCAAUGGCACAGGUAUAGGCGAAAGCAUCCCCUUAUGUGAUAACUGACGUUGAGGGACGAAGGCUUUGUAUAACAAACAGGAUUAGAUACCCUGGUAGUUAAAGCAGAAAAUGAUGAGUGUCAUAGAUUAGACAUAGGUUUAUUCUAUAAAUUAAAGUGUAAGCACUCCACCUCAAGAGUAAUUUGGCAACAUUGGAACUGAAAUCAUUAGACCGUUUCUGAAACCAGUAGUGAAGUAUGUUGUUUAAUUUGAUAACCCGCAAAAAACCUUACCACAACUUGAAUGUUUAUAUGUUAUUAUGUAGACACAAGCGUUGCACGGCUGUCUUCAGUUAAUGUCGCGAGAUUAUGGUUAGUUCCAUUAAAUUAACGUAAACCCUUACUUUAUUUUUAAAUAAAGUUGUUCUCCACUAUAUUGGAUAAGAUAACAGGGAUUAAGACAAGUCAUCAUGGCCUGAAUGUUGUGGGCUAUAGACGUGCCACGUGAGCCUUUACAAAAGGAUGUGAAAUUGCGAAAUUGAGCUAAUCCCCUAAAACUGGCUAUACAUUUACAAU